Equus asinus (donkey) is the source of this 3778-nucleotide long non-coding RNA. The record is from Ensembl. Lineage: Eukaryota; Metazoa; Chordata; Mammalia; Perissodactyla; Equidae.
CCGUAACUGAGGAAGCAGGCAACAGUGCCUAGCUCAGGUGACAAUCUUUAAGCAAAAGAAACACACAAGGGCGUGGAGACCUGGGGAAAAAGCAACACUGAGAAAUCCACCCUCUGAAACUGAGGAAGAUGGGCAACAGAGGCUAGCUCAGGUGGCAAUAGUUAAGCAAAAACAAAACACAAGGGCGUGCAGACCUGGCAAAAAAGCAACCCUGAAAUCCACCCUCUGAAACUGAGGAAGAUGGGCAAGAGAGGCUGGCUCAGGUGGCAAUCUUUAAGCAAAAGAAACACACAAGGGCGUGGAGACCUGGGGAAAAGCAACACGGAGAAAUCCAACCCUCUGAAACUGAGGAACAUGGGCAAGAGAGGCUAGCUCAGGUGGCAAUCGUUAAGCAAAAACAAAACACAAAGGCGUGGAGACCUGGGGAAAAAGCAACCCUGAAAUAUCUACCCUCUGAAACUGAGGAAGAUGGGCAAGAGAGGCUGGCUUCAGGUGGCAAACUUUAAGCAAAAGAAACACACAAGGGCGUGGAGACCUGGGGAAAAAGCAACACGGAGAAAUCCACCCUCUGAAACUGAGGAAGAUGGGCAAGAGAGGCUAGCUCAGGUGGCAAUCGUUAAGCAAAAACAAAACCCAAAGGCGUGGAGACCUGGGGAAAAAGCAACCCUGAAAUAUCUACCCUCUGAAACUGAGGAAGAUGGGCAAGAGAGGCUGGCUUCAGGUGGCAAUCUUUAAGCAAAAGAAACACACAAGGGCGUGGAGACCUGGGGAAAAAGCAACACUGAGAAAUCUACCCUCUGAAACUGACGAAGAUGGGCAACAGAGGCUAGCUCAGGUGGCAAUCGUUAAGCAAAAGAAACACACAAGGGCGUGGAGACCUGGGGAAAAAGCAACACGGAGAAAUCCACCCUCUGAAACUGAGGAAGAUGGGCAAGAGAGGCUAGCUCAGGUGGCAAUCGUUAAGCAAAAACAAAACACAAGGGCGUGCAGACCUGGCAAAAAGCAACAGUGAGAAAUCUACCCUCUGAAACUGACGAAGAUGGGCAACAGAGGCUACCUCAGGUGGCAAUCUUUAAGCAAAAGAAACACACAAGGGCGGGGAGACCUGGGGAAAAAGCAACACGGAGAAAUCUACCCUCUAGAACUGAGGAAGAUGGGCAACAGAGGCUAGCUCAGGUGGCAAUCUUUAAGCAAAAAAAAAAAUAAAAUAAAAAAUACAAUGGCGAGGAGACCCGGUCAAAAAGCAACCCUGAAAAAGGUACCCUCUGAAACUGAGGAAGCAGGGCAACAGUGCCUAGCUCAGGUGACAAUCUUUAAGCAAAAGAAACACACAAGGGCGUGGGGAGCUGGCGAAAAGGCAACACUGAGAAAUCCACCCUCUGAAACGGACGAAGAUGGGCAACAGAGGCUAGCUCAGGUGGCAAUCUUUAAGCAAAAGAAACACACAAGGGCGUGGAGACCUGGGGAAAAAGCAACACGGAGAAAUCCACCCUCUGAAACUGAGGAAGAUGGGCAAGAGAGGCUACCUCAGGUGGCAAUCGUUAAGCAAAAACAAAGCACAAAGGCGUGGAGACCUGGGGAAAAAGCAACCCUGAAAUAUCUACCCUCUGAAACUGAGGAAGAUGGGCAAGAGAGGCUGGCUUCAGGUGGCAAUCGUUAAGCAAAAGAAACACACAAGGGCGUGGAGACCUGGGGAAAAAGCAACAUUCAGAAAUCCACCCUCUGAAACUGAGGAAGAUGGGCAACAGAGGCUACCUCAGGUGGCAAUCGUUAAGCCAAAGAAACACACAAGGGUGUGGAGACCUGGGGAAAAAGCAACACGGAGAAAUCCACCCUCUGAAACUGACGAAGAUGGGCAACAGAGGCUAGCUCAGGUGGCAAUCUUUAAGCAAAAAAAAUAAAAUAAAAAAAUACAAUGGCGAGGAGACCCGGUCAAAAAGCAACCCUGAAAAAGGUACCCUCUGAAACUGAGGAAGCAGGGCAACAGUGCCUAGCUCAGGUGACAAUCUUUAAGCAAAAGAAACACACAAGGGCGUGGGGAGCUGGCGAAAAGGCAACACUGAGAAAUCCACCCUCUGAAACGGACGAAGAUGGGCAACAGAGGCUAGCUCAGGUGGCAAUCUUUAAGCAAAAGAAACACACAAGGGCGUGGAGACCUGGGGAAAAAGCAACACGGAGAAAUCCACCCUCUGAAACUGAGGAAGAUGGGCAACAGAGGCUACCUCAGGUGGCAAUCGUUAAGCAAAAGAAACACACAAGGGCGUGGAGACCUGGGGAAAAAGCAACCCUGAAAUAUCAACCCUCUGAAACUGAGGAAGAUGGGCAACAGAGGCUACCUCAGGUGGCAAUCGUUAAGCAAAAGAAACACACAAGGGCGUGGAGACCUGGGGAAAAAGCAACACGGAGAAAUCCACCCUCUGAAACUGAGGAAGAUGGGCAAGAGAGGCUAGCUCAGGUGGCAAUCGUUAAGCAAAAACAAAGCACAAAGGCGUGGAGCCCUGGGGACAAAGCAACCCUGAAAUAUCUACCCUCUGAAACUGAGGAACAUGGGCAAGAGAGGCUAGCUCAGGUGGCAAUCUUUAAGCAAAAGAAACACACAAGGGCGUGGAGACCUGGGGAAAAGGCAACACUGAGAAAUCCACCCUCUGAAACGGACGAAGAUGGGCAACAGAGGCUAGCUCAGGUGGCAAUCUUUAAGCAAAAGAAACACACAAGGGCGUGGAGACCUGGGGAAAAAGCAACACGGAGAAAUCCACCCUCUGAAACUGAGGAAGAUGGGCAAGAGAGGCUGGCUUCAGGUGGCAAUCUUUAAGCAAAAGAAACACACAAGGGCGUGGAGACCUGGGGAAAAAGCAACACUGAGAAAUCCACCCUCUGAAACUGAGGAAGAUGGGAAACAGAGGCUACCUCAGGUGGCAAUCGUUAAGCAAAAACAAAACCCAAAGGCGUGGAGACCUGGGGAAAAAGCAACCCUGAAAUAUCUACCCUCUGAAACUGAGGAAGAUGGGCAAGAGAGGCUGGCUUCAGGUGGCAAACUUUAAGCAAAAGAAACACACAAGGGCGUGGAGACCUGGGGAAAAAGCAGCACUGAGAAAUCUACCCUCUGAAACUGACGAGGAUGGGCAACAGAGGCUACCUCAGGUGGCAAUCGUUAAGCAAAAGAAACACACAAGGGCGUGGAGACCUGGGGAAAAAGCAACACGGAGAAAUCCACCCUCUGAAACUGAGGAAGAUGGGCAAGAGAGGCUAGCUCAGGUGGCAAUCGUUAAGCAAAAACAAAACCCAAAGGCGUGGAGACCUGGGGAAAAAGCAACCCUGAAAUAUCUACCCUCUGAAACUGAGGAAGAUGGGCAAGAGAGGCUGGCUUCAGGUGGCAAACUUUAAGCAAAAGAAACACACAAGGGCGUGGAGAGCUGGCGAAAAAGCAACACUGAGAAAUCUACCCUCUGAAACCGAAGAAGAUGGGCAACAGAGGCUAGCUCAGGUGGCAAUCUUUAAGCAAAAAAAUAAAAAAUAAAAAAAUACAAUGGCGAGGAGACCCGGUCAAAAAGCAACCCUGAAAAAGGUACCCUCUGAAACUGAGGAAGCAGCGCAACAGUGCCUAGCUCAGGUGACAAUCUUUAAGCAAAAAAAAAAAAAAACAAAAAACAAAAAACAAAACCCACAAUGGAGUGGAGACCCGGGGGAAAUCAACACUGAAAAAUACAAAAAGAAUGGAAGACCAAUAGACAGAGCAGGCACUUUCACCUGGGGUGGAGGAGGUACGCAUGGAUGACCU